UCCGCCUUCACGCAGUCGAGUUGCAGACUGCGAUCCGAACUGAGACCGGUUUUCAGGGAUCCGCUCCAGCUCGCGCUGUCGCAUCCCGUUGUACCGGCCAUUGUAGCAUGCGUGAAGCCCUGGACGUAAGGGGCAUGAUGAUCUGACGUCAUCCCCACCUUCCUCCG
This 167-nucleotide ribosomal RNA is filed under the name uncultured Actinomycetes bacterium. RNAcentral describes it as "uncultured actinobacterium partial 16S ribosomal RNA". Lineage: Bacteria; Bacillati; Actinomycetota; Actinomycetes. The record is from RNAcentral.